RNAcentral lists this transfer RNA (65 nucleotides) under Cherax robustus. Its description in RNAcentral is "tRNA-Glu". Lineage: Eukaryota; Metazoa; Arthropoda; Malacostraca; Decapoda; Parastacidae. The record is from RNAcentral.
CUUUUUUAUGGUGUAUUUAACACAUUACAUUUUCAUUGUAAAGCUGAAGGGCUCCUUCUAAAAAU